RNAcentral lists this long non-coding RNA (3697 nucleotides) under Olea europaea subsp. europaea. The record is from RNAcentral. Lineage: Eukaryota; Viridiplantae; Streptophyta; Magnoliopsida; Lamiales; Oleaceae.
GAGACCCGUACCCGAAAGUAAAACCCCAUGUGGCGAAGGCGAAUUGAUAGAGUAAACCAAAAUCAAAUUUCUAUUGAAUCUCGUCAGUUUCCCCGGACACAUUUUUAUUGGUUUUCUAGUGGAUUGUGAUUCGUCUUGCAACAUAAUUCUUUGUUACAAAUUGAUUGAAAGGAUCUAGCCGUAAUUUGGAAGCAGGUAAUUUUUUGACAUUUCAUAUAUAUGCUAUAAAACUGUGUGUUUGGAUUGUUGUGUGAGAAACUAUAAAGGGAUUUGACGGUGUGGUUCAGAGUUUUGCUUCUUUACGAUUUAUUACAUAUUAUUGUAAAGAAUUAUUUUCCUAGGGAAUAUAAUUUUUGAAUUGGUUUUGGAUUAUUUUACUUCUUUGAUAUGAAUCUGGUAUGAUAUAAAUUAGUUUUAGAUUAUUUUCUUAUAUGAUAUGAAUAUGUGGGCAGUGGAUUUGAAUUGUUUGGAUUAUUUUGCUUCUUUGCUUAUUUCUUGCCUCAUUCUAUUGUAUGUAUUGGAUGUUCUUCUAUGAUAUGACACAUCUUAAAUUAACUCUUGUUUAUUUCAUAGUGAAAAUAGUCAUGGAAAGAUUUUAUAAAAGAAAAUCUCUUGAGGAUGUGGAAAUCGUUGAUGUGGAGAUGUCAAAUAGAGGCGAUUUUGAUGUUGCACAACUUUCUAUCUAUUUUGAUAAUGAAGUGAUCGUACAAAUAUAUCAAAAGUAUGAAAAAUAGUAAAGAACAAUUAUAAGGUAUUUCAUUUUUAGUAUAAUGAUUGUAUUAUAAUGUUGUUAUUUUUUCACGUAUAUUAAUAUUGUCCGCACUGAAAAAAAUUUAUAGGUCUGUACUUGAAUACACCAGCAAGCAAAGAACAAUCUCGGAUCUCGCUCUCAGGUCAACAAGCUCUCUCCCCAGUCUACUGUUAUGGUUUUCAAUUGACACUGCGUGAAACAAAGUAUUCAAGCAAAAACCUUAGAAACAUAAUUUUGGGAUCCACCAAAUUACGAAGAAAAUAAACUCUUGAAAUUUUAUUGAUGUAAGAUGAUAAAAAAAUGAAUUAACCCUUUAUUUAUAAGGACUUACAUGAAAAUACAGUUUAAGCAAACUAAAAUUGAAAAUUAUUCAAAAUAAACUAAAUGAGAAAAAAUAGCACUAAAAUUUUAAAAGCAGUUUUCGAAUCCUAAAUGAACUCGGAUGGUUAAAAUUUAUCGUAUUUUACAACGAAGCAGUGGGUUCUACACGUCUCAUCAUUCUCUUUCGUGGAAUGAUAUUUUAAAGCCAAAUCGAUGUUCGGAUACUACACUUACUAUUUUUUCCAUUUUGAUCUAAUUCUUCUUCAAUCCAUUCAACAACCUAUCAAGAAAGAAGAAAAAUUGAAGCAUUCUGAGGAAUCAUUAAAGAAAGUCAUGUAUUUGAGUGUCUCUAUAUUCAUAUAUAAAGAAAUCAUUGGACUUAAUUUUAGUUGUGUGUUUCUUCCUCCAUCUGACUACCUUCUUUUCCAUCACUUUGAUUAAACUACAGCUCUAUUUGUUAUGUUUAUACGUUUUGCUCGCUCAAUGAUCAAUGUGGUACAAUUUGUAAGUGGAGCAUGACUAAAGAUAUUUCAAGGAAUUUAGAUAAUAAAUCUCCGAAGUAAUAAAUAAAUAGACAAGGUAAAAAUAAAAUAGAACCAAUGAUCAUCUCAAGUCUAAACCAUAUAACAUUAAAUUUUACCCACUAGUCUAAUCAGUGAUAAGUACACAAAUUUUAAAGUACAUUAUGCAAAGUAGAAAAUAAGUAUUUAUCUAUUACAAAAGUAAUAUUUUAUUUACUGUUAAGUAGUUUUUUUUUUUUUUCACUUAUAAGUAAUGUCAUAAAAAUUUUAUUUUUAAAAAAUAUUUAGGUUUAGCUCUAAUUCGACUUGAAGGUUUUAUUUAGCCAAUUUACUUUGACACGACGUACAGAAUUAUACAAUUAAAAGCAACAAGUCACUUUUUAAUUGUUUCUGAAUAAUUAAUUAAACAAGUCAAAUUAUCCUACAUUGAACUACCAGUUUGUAAUAUGAAAGCAAUAAAUAACACAAUAAUUGUUGAUGGAGAAACCCAACUGAGUAAAAAUACAGUGAACAAGACAUCCACUAUAGACAAUGAUGAACUUACUGUACGAUUCAGUUUAGAAAAUUCCACUAGACUUGUUGAUCUACUUCCUGUAAUUUUCAGGAUCCACUGGAAUGUGCUUCACUCAUGUGUUCUCAAUUUAGUAAAAUUGUCUAUCUCUUGUGGAUCACCAAUAAGUUAUUGUUCUUGUACUCUUCAAGUGCUUCUGGUCCAACAUCUCUUAAUCUUCAACAACCUCAAAAAUCUGUUGAGAAAGUACAUUCAUGUAUUUGUAUAGGAAGAAUGCAUUUUGGAUUAUACGAAGUUAAUUUUUUUCUCAAAAUAUGUGGUUGUUUGUAUUCAAGAAUCAAUGAAUAAAUCGAAAGCUUGGAAUGUGUUCUUAUAUCUUUGAAGGAUGAUAUGUAGGAGAAUUAUAAUGAGCAACCACUUCAAAAUUAGUGUUAGGAGUUGAGUAUAUAUAUAUUAGAAGGCAUUUAGGUAGUAUGGGCUAGAUAAAACUCUCGAAAAAUGCAAAAUAGGAUUUUUGGCAUAGUACCGUCGCUUGACUGCCAGGCAAGCAACUGAUGUGUCGCUCGAGCGAUAGUUCAGUAAUAGAUAGGAGAAAUUUACUCUUUUUUCGCUCAAGCAUCAGGUGGCGAUAGGCUAGCAUAAAUCCGACAACUCUUUCCUCCUUGUUUCGAACUCGAACACUAAGUUGCAUAUUUCAUUUAUACAAUAUUUCAAUCGACUCCUUGACUUUUAAUACUUUUCUUAUUAGUCCUUUUGUCUGAAGAAUUGUCAAUACAAUAAAAUCUUAACAAACUUCCCCUUUGACAUUCUGUAACAAAAUUAUAAAAUACAAAUCUAGGAAGUAAAAUCAAACUAAUUGACCCAAACCCGAACUGAAUGUCGUCUCUUGCAUUCUUUGUCCUGAAAUCAAUAACUCAAAUACUAAGUGUAAAAGCACGUGAUAUAAAAAAUAUAACAACUGAAACACAUUAUCAUAAAUAUGCUAGUUAGAUUGAGAAGUAAUACUAUUGUUAAUCAAAACCACCAAUUGAAAUAUUAAUAUCACCAAACAUCAAAAACUCAAAGAAUAUAUGCAUUAUGAUAUAAAAUGUCAUGAUUGAAAAAUACAAUUAUCUCUCUCCCUUACAAUCAUCUUUCCUCCUUACUACAAAUUCUCUCAAAAAUACAAUCAAAUACAAAUAUAAAUCUCUUUUUAAUUUCUCCAAUUCUUUAUAUAAUUUCUCUAACUCUAUAAUCUCUCUUCCCCCUUUUGUCACAAAUGACGAAUGGAACUUUAUCAAAUACAAUUCAACACGAAUAUAUAAUAACUCAAAAAUGCAAUCGAUAGUAUGCACAAGCAUAAUCAAUGAUUAGUAAACUUUCGCACAUACUUUAUUCAAGUUAAAAUGGAUUAAAUUGUAUAAGUGACCCAUGUUUGUAAAGUGUCAUUAAUCAUUUGUAAGCAGGACUCCAAACCUUAAUUUUGUAAUAAAUGACAUGCUAUCCGUCAUUGUCAAUAAAUUUAUCCCUCUACUUAUGAAAAUCAAACCAAAAGUAGCAUAUAGGGCCUAUAAAAAAAGCUCAUUUUGCAUGUAUAUUAUUCUUUUCUCCCCU